This 1287-nucleotide ribosomal RNA is filed under the name metagenome. RNAcentral describes it as "bacterial SSU rRNA". It matches the Rfam family "Bacterial small subunit ribosomal RNA", at positions 242 to 1520 of the family's 1533-position model. The record is from RNAcentral.
UAGCUAGUUGGUGAGGUAACGGCUUACCAAAGCGACGAUCUGUAGCGGGUCUGAGAGGAUGAUCCGCCACACUGGAACUGAGACACGGUCCAGACUCCUACGGGAGGCAGCAGUGGGGAAUUUUGGACAAUGGGGGCAACCCUGAUCCAGCCAUGCCGCGUGAGUGAAGAAGGCCUUCGGGUUGUAAAGCUCUUUCGGCCGGGAAGAAAUCGCAUGGGCCAAUACCCUGUGUGGAUGACGGUACCGGAAUAAGAAGCACCGGCUAACUACGUGCCAGCAGCCGCGGUAAUACGUAGGGUGCGAGCGUUAAUCGGAAUUACUGGGCGUAAAGCGUGCGCAGGCGGUUUUGUAAGACAGGCGUGAAAUCCCCGGGCUCAACCUGGGAACUGCGUUUGUGACUGCAAGGCUAGAGUACGGCAGAGGGGGGUGGAAUUCCACGUGUAGCAGUGAAAUGCGUAGAGAUGUGGAGGAACACCAAUGGCGAAGGCAGCCCCCUGGGUCGAUACUGACGCUCAUGCACGAAAGCGUGGGUAGCAAACAGGAUUAGAUACCCUGGUAGUCCACGCCCUAAACUAUGUCAACUAGGUGUUGGGUGGGUAAAACCAUUUAGUACCGUAGCUAACGCGUGAAGUUGACCGCCUGGGGAGUACGGCCGCAAGGUUAAAACUCAAAGGAAUUGACGGGGACCCGCACAAGCGGUGGAUGAUGUGGAUUAAUUCGAUGCAACGCGAAAAACCUUACCUACCCUUGACAUGCCAGGAACUUGCCAGAGAUGGCUUGGUGCCCGAAAGGGAGCCUGGACACAGGUGCUGCAUGGCUGUCGUCAGCUCGUGUCGUGAGAUGUUGGGUUAAGUCCCGCAACGAGCGCAACCCUUGUCGUUAAUUGCCAUCAUUUAGUUGGGCACUUUAGCGAGACUGCCGGUGACAAACCGGAGGAAGGUGGGGAUGACGUCAAGUCCUCAUGGCCCUUAUGGGUAGGGCUUCACACGUCAUACAAUGGUCGGUACAAAGGGUCGCCAAGCCGCGAGGUGGAGCCAAUCCCAGAAAGCCGAUCGUAGUCCGGAUUGCAGGCUGCAACUCGCCUGCAUGAAGUCGGAAUCGCUAGUAAUCGUGGAUCAGCAUGUCACGGUGAAUACGUUCCCGGGUCUUGUACACACCGCCCGUCACACCAUGGGAGCGGGUUCCGCCAGAAGUAGGUAGCCUAACCGCAAGGAGGGCGCUUACCACGGCGGGGUUCGUGACUGGGGUGAAGUCGUAACAAGGUAGCCGUAGGGGAACCUGCGGCUG